Molecule: ribosomal RNA, 460 nt
Filed under: uncultured bacterium
Lineage: Bacteria
Description: partial 16S ribosomal RNA
Rfam family: Bacterial small subunit ribosomal RNA
Source: RNAcentral
CCUACGGGAGGCUGCAGUGAGGAAUAUUGGUCAAUGGGCGAGAGCCUGAACCAGCCAAGUCGCGUGAAGGAUGACGGCCCUACGGGUUGUAAACUUCUUUUGUCAGGGAGUAAUCGAGUCCACGUGUGGGCUUAGCGAGAGUACCUGCAGAAAAAGCAUCGGCUAACUCCGUGCCAGCAGCCGCGGGAAUACGAAGGAUGAGAGCGUUAUCCGGAUUUAUUGGGUUUAAAGGGUGCGUAGCGGGAAUAUCACGUAGGCGGUAAAAAUUCGGGGCUCACCCCCGUCGUGCCGUUGAAACUGAUGUUCUUGAGUGGGCGAGAGGUAUGCGGAAUGCGUGGUGUAGCGGUGAAAUGCAUAGAUAUCACGCAGAACUCCGAUUGCGAAGGCAGCAUACCGACGCCCAACUGACGCUGAAGCACGAAAGCGUGGGUAUCGAACAGGAUUAGAUACCCCAGUAGUC